AGUCUUAUAUUCAAUUAUGAUUUUAAAUUGCAAAUUUAAAGGUGAAAUUUUCUAAGGCUU
This 60-nucleotide transfer RNA is filed under the name Aristobrotica sp. REN-2018. RNAcentral's name for it is "tRNA-Cys". The record is from RNAcentral. Lineage: Eukaryota; Metazoa; Arthropoda; Insecta; Coleoptera; Chrysomelidae.